GGUCGUAUAGUGUAAUGGCUAGCACAUCGGAUUCUGAGCUAUUUGUCAUCUUCCGGUAAUUCCGGUUCGAUCCCGGGUAUGACCU
Taxawa tesnikishii (nom. ined.) is the source of this 85-nucleotide non-coding RNA. NCBI's taxonomy places the organism in Eukaryota, Fungi, Ascomycota, Dothideomycetes, Dothideales. The record is from the annotation of a GenBank genome assembly.